Molecule: long non-coding RNA, 1501 nt
Organism: Leopardus geoffroyi (Geoffroy's cat)
Lineage: Eukaryota; Metazoa; Chordata; Mammalia; Carnivora; Felidae
Exons: 3
Source: RefSeq, a predicted model, not a curated record
GUGGAGUCCUCCAACUCUGUUCUUCUUUUAUGAGAGGGUCUGGUUGUUCUGGGUCCUGUGCCAGUACCAUAUGAAUUUUAGGAUCCGCUGGUUGGUUUCUAGAAAAAGCCAGUGGUGGUUCUGACAGGGGUUGCCUCGAAUCUGUAGACCAUUGAAUCUGCAGCUGGGAAACAUUGUCAUCCUGACAAUACUGUCUUCCAAUGGUGAACAUGCGGUGUUUUCCCAUGUAUUUAGGUCUUUAAUUCCUUCCGAUAAUAAAACCACAGGUCUUUUUGAAAGCCGCUUGAGUGCAUCAGAACAGCUGAUCUUCUCAGAAUGCCUCCUCUACCAACUCCCUGUGAGAGCAAAGUGCAGAGGCCCCACCCCGUCCAGCAGUUUGGCGGAGGGGAGCAGGUUUGGGUUCUGUUCUACCCCACAGCAGCCUCCUGCCUCCUGCGGGCCUCGGCCCUCAGCAGCCUGCCCAGGCAGAUGGGUGCUCGUCACCCCAUCUCCUUGCUCCUUUGGUUCAGAGGGCCUGGGUGUUCUCCUGACGUUGGUUUUAAGCAGCCCCUGGUCGCAGCCAGGGAGUCCUGCCUCAGCGUGCCCUGCCAUCCUGACUGGCGCUCCUACAUGUGUAAGAGGGAGUCACUUGAUAUAGCACACGUAUGUCCACUGCUCUCAGCUCAGCUUCCUGCAUUGCUGUGGCACCUGUGUUACAGAUCAGGUGGCCACACACAUAUGGAUCUGUUUCCGGACUGUAUCUCAUGAAGUUAUUUGUCUCGUCUUGCCUUCAUACCAAACUGUAUUACUUACUAUGGCCUAAGAGACCUUGUCUGGGUAGUGUUAGGGACUCUGAAUACUUGUCUCCCCAGAUCCAUAUGUUGAAGCCCUCCUGCCCCCCCCCCCACCCCCAGCAGUGUGAUGAUAUUUGGAGCUGGACCUUUGGGAGGUGAUUAGGUUUAAAUGAGAUCAUGGGGGUGAGUCCCCUGUGAUGGGAGUCAUGCCCUAUACGAGCUGAAAGCCCUUCUGCUGUCUGUAUGUGAGCACAGGGAGAGGGCAGCUGCCCACAAGCCAGGAAGAGGGCCCUCACCAACAACCACACCUAUCGGCACCUUGUUCUUAGACACGCAGCCUCCAGAACUGCUGAAACAAGAAUGCAGUCAAAGGAACCUGACUGUCAGUGACAGGAGAGAAAGAGCUGCAAGCCAAAACAUGCAAAACCAGCCUUUCAUUGAGGAGAAAAUGAAAAAUACAGAAUGAAACGAAGGGGAGUUUCAAGAACUUGCAGGAGCCGAGCUUCCUGUGCAAAUGAGAAGCCCGGGGCAGAUGGCGCCCUCGUUAUCCUCGUUAUCGUCGGUGCCCAUGCUGGUGGAUGCAGACCGGCCGCAGUGCAGAGGGUCCGCUUUCCCGCUGCCGUGGACCCAGAACCGCUUGGUGGCAUCCCAGGUGGGACCUUGGCCGGCACCGCCAUCUGGUGCCCUGGUGCCUGCCCGCCCGUCCAGAGCCCAAAGCCGGUUCUCGC